This 67-nucleotide transfer RNA is filed under the name SAR86 cluster bacterium. RNAcentral's name for it is "tRNA-OTHER". It matches the Rfam family "tRNA", at positions 12 to 71 of the family's 71-position model. Rfam says of the family: Transfer RNA (tRNA) molecules are approximately 80 nucleotides in length. Their secondary structure includes four short double-helical elements and three loops (D, anti-codon, and T loops). Lineage: Bacteria; Pseudomonadati; Pseudomonadota; Gammaproteobacteria. The record is from RNAcentral.
GUAAACAGUAGUACAAAAAGGACUGAAAAUCCUUGUGUCGGUGGUUCGAUUCCACCUCUGGGCACCA